GAUUAAGCCAUGCAUGUGUAAGUGUAAAUUUUUAAGUUUGGAACUGCGAAUGGCUCAUUAUAUCAGUUAUAGUUUAUUUGGUGAAGUGUACUACUUGGAUAACCGUAGUAAUUCUAGGGCUAAUACAUGAGAAAGUCCUCUGGUGAGGUGUGUUUAUUAGAAUGAAAACCAUAUGCUUCGGCAUGAUAGUGAGUAAUAGUAACCUAUCGUAUCGCAUGCUUAAUGUAGCGAUGAGUCUUUCAAGUUUCUGCCCUAUCAGCUUGCGAUGGUAGUAUAUGGGCCUACCAUG
This 289-nucleotide ribosomal RNA is filed under the name Blastocystis hominis. RNAcentral describes it as "partial 18S ribosomal RNA". It matches the Rfam family "Eukaryotic small subunit ribosomal RNA", at positions 42 to 348 of the family's 1831-position model. Lineage: Eukaryota; Bigyra; Opalinata; Blastocystidae. The record is from RNAcentral.